GCCUGCACGCGGGGAUAGGUCAGAGAUGAGCGAGUGACCUGGUUUUGACGAUCAGGUGGGAAAGCAGAAAAGGAGGCCGCGGGCUUUGCCGGCGGCGGACGAGUUGAGGCCGGCCACGUUAAAGUGGCUGCCCCUUGGCAAACGACGUAGGUGACCUCUACGAGACUGUUGCCCACGUGUUGAUCGGAGUAUCCCGCUCUCUCCCCAAUCGUUGAAUCGUACAUCUGAUCGAUCGAUCCCUAUAUAACUCUACCUCCAACGCCACCAGCAGCCGGGCUAUCACUUCGACGACGGCUUCGAGGAUAGCCACUAUCUACCGUUUUCCUUCGUCGACCUGUUGGACCUCCACCUGCGGCCUAAGUAGGCGGCGCUGGACGUCAGCUAGGUUCUUUAGUAACCGGCGAGCUCACCGCCGUCUAGGUAGUGCCUGGAGACCCAGGCUCUAGAGUCCGCGGACCGCCUGCUGUACCUUCUGACGUAGCUGGCGAAGGUCCAGCCCUUCUACCCGUCUCAGGCAAAGCAGCCCUUCUAGCCGUCUGACUUCUUCUCCAGUUUCCUCUGAGAGCUCGUCGACGUCUUGAGGUAGUCGUAGUGGCCUCGGCGGCGUGGAGGCCGAGGGCGGCCGCCCCCGUUGCUAGUCCUAGGCCUCCCCGUUGAUGAACGAGACGAAGGCGCCUCGGGUAGCCUCCCCUCCGAGUUCCACUAAAGUCAGCGGCCUAAGCCACCUCGUCCAUACUGAGCGGAACGGGUGUUCCAAAUGUCGUUGUCCCUACACGCGUCGGUCAAGGGAGACGUGCGGACCCAAGCACGUAGGGGCCCGUACUCACACGUGUUCGAAGAAGUCUUUUAUGUACUGGUUGACGACGAUUAAUCAUAACGGUUCUUAGUACCACGGUGACGGAGGUCGAGGUUUUAUUAUGGUGUCCAGUUGCCUCUUCGGCUUUGACUGGCGCCCGAGUAGCCUAAUGAGUUCUGGCCUUCCAUAAACUAACACUAACUACCACACUUAUGUGUACUCAACAUGCUGCACGAUAGACGGAAGAGAACCCGACUACCUCACCUAACGUCUUAAUAGUACUGCUGCCGGUAAGUCGACGGUCUUCGCUGUACGACGUCUACACCAUUGCCAAGUAGUGAACGAUACCUAUCGUGUUCGGUCCAAAAGUAACCUCUCGACUGUCUCUCACCUAAACACCUCCGGACGGAGGUAGAAGCACUACUGUGAUAUCUUUCUUAAGCCGCGCCGUUGUUGCUCUAGGAUAGGUCAGGACAACAGGUCCUGAAUAACGACAUAAAGACGUACAAGGGUGCGCUAGUAGGACAGUCCUCCUUAGGGAACUAUUCCGAUACCGACCGACUUCCUGAACACAAAGGAGUUGGUCUUUGUCUCUCAAAAAGGGUCCUACAACGUCGGUUCUUAAACCUCUCGGAGUAGUCGGCGUUACAGUAGGUCGGGUAAGUUCACUCCUUGAUACCUUUACACUUCUCUACGGUUUGAAAACCCUACUACGAAUUGAGGUAAAGGUCGUUUAGGUUCAGUGUCUUGAAGUAGUGGUACGACACACCAUCGCCGGUCUGCUGCCUCUCCUUAGGUGGCCCGUUUCUCUAAGCGGCCGAAAGCGAGGUAGAAUUGCCACGCCGUUUACCCGGUGAAUUAAACGGUUUCCUCAAUAGAGCAGAGGUAUGAGACCGUCAUAAGGGACUACUACGUUUACAGAGGUCCGUAGUUCGAUUAAACUUAAUACGGUUUAUAUUCGAUGACGCUCAAAACCUAGAGUUUCUUACACGGCUACACUUUCGUCUUGUACACCCGUUUUAUACACUGGACAACGACGAGUUUAUAGACUCGGAGCCCCUGUCAUAACUGUUCCAAGGCUCCUUUUAUCGCUUCGAUUUUACCAAUCUCUGAGAGCUGUACUCCUCUUGGGUCCAUCACUGCGACGGUUAACUUCAGGAGGUCGAGGGGCCCAACUUUGUGGAGGAACCUUUCAAAGUCGAUCAACUUCCGCUGACGUGUGUCUUCUUCGAUCUCUUCGAGGACAGUUUUCUAUAACUUGACGUAUCCGAAAGGCCUAAACAGUGUCUGUUUUCGCUUCCCAAACGCGUCGACUACUCAGCGUACCCCUUCAACUCCUUCCACUUUUAUACCACGCUAAGGUGGCGUCUACACUGCUUUGACCAAGUACAAAAUCCUCGGUGUUUCUUUAAGUAACCGCCUCCGGACCUAUACUGUUCUCAGCUAGCAAGAAAUAGAUAGCUGAAGGUUCCUACAGGUUGUCUUACGAGUCUUGUCAAGUACCUAAGAGACUUUCGAUGUCCGGCAGAAUGGAGCGAGUUUAACGCUCCGUUCGACUGUGUUGAGGGAGUCAAGGCACGUUUCGACUUAAUGUAGCUUCUCAAUACGGAGAGUUUCUGAUCAGACUCGCCACUGUGUUAGGACUCAUCGGACAGACCUGACUUUUACUGUGACUUUAUAAAGUUCGACCAUCUUCUAUUCGAACCAGUGAACCAGUAUUUUGGUCUCGUAAAGGCUUCGGACUUCCCCAAUACGGAGCACCCGCUCGUUUCAGAUCUCCUGUAUAGUUAGGUUCUACUUCGAUACGGGAUGGAACACAGUGAAGUAUAUGAAACACUUCGAGUCCCACUAGAAGGUCCGUAGCUGUAGUGUGCGUACCCUUCCGAUUUUCUUCAGCGCGAGGUAAGGCCUCAUGUUCUAUGCUAUUUCCUACCUACCGUUCGUCGACGUUACUUGGUAGGAUUAUCCGGGUUGCAAAACAAAUAGGUAGUACGAUUGAGGAACGGAUCUCUGAGAGGCGGCACGCUUCGUUGUCCCCUCUAACAUUUAGCCUGGUUUGGAUAACCCUCUUUUAAGUGGAGGAGAUAGUACCCCGAAAGCCAACCUACGUACCAGGUUGAAAUACGACAAGAUACUACAGAGGAGGUUAAUUUUUACGUGAGAAGAAGAGUGCCGCACUAAUGUUUCCCUUGCAGUAUCCGUUUUCCCUCCCGUGUUCGUUGUAUUGUCAACUUCCUUUAAAGUUGAUAGUCUAUCGGAUAGUACGGGAGACGGUAUUUUGGAAAACAUCGGUCCCUCCCUCCCUCUACCACAUAUAAAUGAACAGGUUUUUUUCUCCCAUGUCAUAUUAAAAAGCCAGAGUUCACGACGUCACGGACGAUAACAACGUGAUGGUACAAUGACUAAAAAAAAAAUUUAACACUCCGAAGUUUUCCAGUCCUUUGAAUAAGUUGUACCUGAAUAAACAGCCACUAACGUCGAUACUUCUAACUAUGAAGGGUAUAGAGAGACGAAAAAAAAAAUGUCUUACAUUACGAGGGAGAGAGAGUUUUACAUUCUGCAAAGAACUGUGAUUAUCAUGUU
RNAcentral lists this ribosomal RNA (3379 nucleotides) under Triticum aestivum (bread wheat). Its description in RNAcentral is "partial small subunit ribosomal RNA". Lineage: Eukaryota; Viridiplantae; Streptophyta; Magnoliopsida; Poales; Poaceae. The record is from RNAcentral.